UCCGGCUUGUCGCCGGCGGUCCCUUUAGAGUGCCCAACUUAAUGAUGGCAACUAAAGGAGAGGGUUGCGCUCGUUGCGGGACUUAACCCAACAUCUCACGACACGAGCUGACGACAGCCAUGCAGCACCUGUCUCCGUGCCCCUUGCGGGGAAAGCCCAAUUUCUCGGACCGUCACGGGAUGUCAAGGCCUGGUAAGGUUCUGCGCGUUGCGUCGAAUUGAACCACAUGCUCCACCGCUUGUGCGGGCCCCCGUCAAUUCCUUUGAGUUUCAGCCUUGCGGCCGUACUCCCCAGGCGGGGCACUUACUGCGUUAGCGACGACACUCAGAGGGUCGCUCCCCCAAGCAUCUAGUGCCCAUCGUUUACGGCGUGGACUAC
RNAcentral lists this unclassified non-coding RNA (378 nucleotides) under uncultured bacterium. RNAcentral describes it as "contains 16S-23S intergenic spacer region". The record is from RNAcentral.